AGUUUAUGAUGCUGAUACCUCCUCAAGAGGUCCUUGAUCCUCUCCCAUGUCUCAAACAAUGAUUCGGCAUCCAUUUGAGUAAAUGAAGUGAUCUCUUACCUAAGCUU
Small nucleolar RNA from Dioscorea cayenensis subsp. rotundata (Guinea yam), 107 nucleotides. The record is from RefSeq and is a predicted model, not a curated record. Lineage: Eukaryota; Viridiplantae; Streptophyta; Magnoliopsida; Dioscoreales; Dioscoreaceae.